GCGGCCUAUCAGCUUGUUGGUGGGGUGAUGGCCUACCAAGGCGACGACGGGUAGCCGGCCUGAGAGGGUGUCCGGCCACACUGGGACUGAGAUACGGCCCAGACUCCUACGGGAGGCAGCAGUGGGGAAUAUUGCACAAUGGGCGCAAGCCUGAUGCAGCGACGCCGCGUGAGGGAUGACGGCCUUCGGGUUGUAAACCUCUUUCAGUAUCGACGAAGCGCAAGUGACGGUAGGUACAGAAGAAGCACCGGCCAACUACGUGCCAGCAGCCGCGGUAAUACGUAGGGUGCGAGCGUUGUCCGGAAUUACUGGGCGUAAAGAGCUCGUAGGUGGUUUGUCGCGUUGUUCGUGAAAACUCACAGCUCAACUGUGGGCGUGCGGGCGAUACGGGCAGACUGGAGUACUGCAGGGGAGACUGGAAUUCCUGGUGUAGCGGUGGAAUGCGCAGAUAUCAGGAGGAACACCGGUGGCGAAGGCGGGUCUCUGGGCAGUAACUGACGCUGAGGAGCGAAAGCGUGGGGAGCGAACAGGAUUAGAUACCCUGGUAGUCCACGCCGUAAACGGUGGGUACUAGGUGUGGGUUUCCUUCCUUGGGAUCCGUGCCGUAGCUAACGCAUUAAGUACCCCGCCUGGGGAGUACGG
Molecule: ribosomal RNA, 642 nt
Filed under: uncultured bacterium
Lineage: Bacteria
Description: bacterial SSU rRNA
Rfam family: Bacterial small subunit ribosomal RNA
Source: RNAcentral